Molecule: ribosomal RNA, 468 nt
Filed under: uncultured bacterium
Lineage: Bacteria
Description: partial 16S ribosomal RNA
Rfam family: Bacterial small subunit ribosomal RNA
Source: RNAcentral
GACGAACGCUGGCGGCGUGCUUAACACAUGCCAGUCGAACGGAAAGGCCCUGCUUUUGUGGGGUGCUCGAGUGGCGAACGGGUGAGUAACACGUGAGUAACCUGCCCUUGACUUUGGGAUAACUUCUGGAAACUGGGGCUAAUACCGGAUAGGAGCUCCUGCUGCAUGGUGGGGGUUGGAAAGUUUCGGCGGUUGGGGAUGGACUCGCGGCUUAUCAGCUUGUUGGUGGGGUAGUGGCUUACCAAGGCUUUGACGGGUAGCCGGCCUGAGAGGGUGACCGGCCACAUUGGGACUGAGAUACGGCCCAGACUCCUACGGGAGGCAGCAGUGGGGAAUAUUGCACAAUGGGCGGAAGCCUGAUGCAGCAACGCCGCGUGCGGGAUGACGGCCUUCGGGUUGUAAACCGCUUUCGCCUGUGACGAAGCGUGAGUGACGGUAAUGGGUAAAGAAGCACCGGCUAACUACGUG